GGAUUAGAUACCCGGGUAGUCCACCCCGUAAACGUUGGGAACUAGUUGUGGGGUCCAUUCCACGGAUUCCGUGACGCAGCUAACGCAUUAAGUUCCCCGCCUGGGGAGUACGGCCGCAAGGCUAAAACUCAAAGGAAUUGACGGGGACCCGCACAAGCGGCGGAGCAUGCGGAUUAAUUCGAUGCAACGCGAAGAACCUUACCAAGGCUUGACAUACACGAGAACGCUGCAGAAAUGCAGAACUCUUUGGACACUCGUGAACAGGUGGUGCAUGGUUGUCGUCAGCUCGUGUCGUGAGAUGUUGGGUUAAGUCCCGCAACGAGCGCAACCCUCGUUCUAUGUUGCCAGCACGUAAUGGUGGGAACUCAUGGGAUACUGCCGGGGUCAACUCGGA
RNAcentral lists this ribosomal RNA (394 nucleotides) under uncultured bacterium. RNAcentral describes it as "bacterial SSU rRNA". It matches the Rfam family "Bacterial small subunit ribosomal RNA", at positions 775 to 1167 of the family's 1533-position model. The record is from RNAcentral.